CACGUAGGGCGCAAGCGUUGUCCGGAAUUAUUGGGCGUAAAGAGCUCGUAGGUGGUUUGUUACGUCUGCUGUGAAAACCUAGGGCUUAACCCUGGGCUUGCAGUGGAUACGGGCAGACUAGAGGUAGGUAGGGGAGAAUGGAAUUCCUGGUGGUAGCGGUGAAAUGCGCAGAUAUCAGGAGGAACACCGGUGGCGAAGGCGGUUCUCUGGGCAGUAACUGACGCUGAGGAGCGAAAGCGUGGGGAGCGAACGGG
Molecule: ribosomal RNA, 254 nt
Filed under: uncultured bacterium
Lineage: Bacteria
Description: partial 16S ribosomal RNA
Rfam family: Bacterial small subunit ribosomal RNA
Source: RNAcentral